UGGGGAAUAUUGGGCAAUGGGGGAAACCCUGACCUAGCAACGCCGCGUGAAGGAAGAAGGUUUUCGGAUUGUAAACUUCUGUCCUAAGGGAAGAAAGAAAUGACGGUACCUUAGGAGGAAGCCCCGGCUAACUACGUGCCAGCAGCCGCGGUAAUACGUAGGGGGCAAGCGUUGUCCGGAAUUAUUGGGCGUAAAGGGUGCGUAGGCGGCCGAUCAAGUCAGGUGUGAAAGACCCGUGCUUAACAUGGGGGUUGCACUUGAAACUGGUUGGCUUGAGUAUGGGAGAGGCAAGCGGAAUUCCCGGUGUAGCGGUGAAAUGCGUAGAGAUCGGGAGGAACACCAGUGGCGAAGGCGGCUUGCUGGACCAAAACUGACGCUGAGGCACGAAAGCGUGGGUAGCAAACAGGAUUAGAUACC
This 417-nucleotide ribosomal RNA is filed under the name uncultured bacterium. RNAcentral's name for it is "bacterial SSU rRNA". It matches the Rfam family "Bacterial small subunit ribosomal RNA", at positions 355 to 786 of the family's 1533-position model. The record is from RNAcentral.